RNAcentral lists this non-coding RNA (2253 nucleotides) under Pongo abelii (Sumatran orangutan). The record is from RNAcentral. Lineage: Eukaryota; Metazoa; Chordata; Mammalia; Primates; Hominidae.
AGGACACAGUGAGCUCUUUAACGCGCUGAACUAAACGAAUGAAGGGGAACACCAACUCAGCUGUCACCCCCGCCCCCAAGUGUCACUGGCUAGAAGAUCUUCCCCCGGUUCGCCGGCAGCACCGGUGGGUCUUGUCACCUCUGCGCCCCGCAGCCCUCCGGAGGCUGCCGUUGCUGUCUGUUGACAGGCGUCCCCUCAGCAGAACGGGGGCUCCUCCAGCGCAGGGCCCCGCUCAGCACCCCUGGUCCCGGGGGCCCCCACAGAGGCCGCCGCGCUCAGUGAAACUUUGCCGCGCGCAGCAGUGGCCGGAGACCCGCGCGGACCCUCUCCCCGAGAGGACCGGCCAGGGCGCGCCGCCCCUCCUCAGCGGCAGACGACCCGACCUGGACCAAGGUCGGCCAAGUCCUCGCCGCCUGCCCAGCGGCCCUUGGACCCACAGGACCCGGACCGGAGUGCGCGGAAGCCUCCGAGCCACGGCCAGGUCUCAGAAUGCGCGGCGGGGCAGCCCGGCCCGUCAAGCAGCGAAGCCGAAACUAGAAGCCUGAGGUCUGGCUUGGUCACUGUUUGCUGGGGAACUCCGACGAGCAACUACCCUUCGGGGACUCAGUUUCCCCCGGGCCAAGUGAGACGGACAGCUGCGGCUCCCGCGAGAACUCGCGCGGGAACAGGAGCCGCGGGCUCCGCACAGCGCCCGGCACGUAGACCGAGUCUACUAACGGGCUGGAAGGUCGCGCUCCCGCCUCCGCGCUGCCCUAGAAUCUUUCUCACCUCAGGCUUGGGCUCCCGGACUCUCUCACCUCACGGCCCCUCCUUCCACCUUGGGCCGCCCAGCCUCAACCGCCCUCACUUCCGCUGACCCGCCUCCCGGAAGCGAUCCUCCGCAGCUGCGCACCGAGCCGCACCUACGCGCACCCUCGGGAGGCGGGUCCAGCUGGGUGGUGAGGGCAGCGCGGCUCCCGAGUAGGCGGCCGCCGAUCCCGCGGAGCACACUCCCCUCCAUCGAGACCGUGACCCCGCGGGGUCUGUUUCCCCGGGAGGAGUUGGCUGCGUUUGGAGAUCCCUGGGCCUAGUAUUCGUCGCGUCCCCCUGCUUGUUGCUCUCCACGUUUAGCCCCAUCCGACUUCUGGAAGCCGAGGGGUGUGUCGCUCGACCCCUAAAAUAUGCUCCUACCCCUAGGGCAAACUUCAGAAUCCUCACCCUGGCCCCCUUCCCAGUUCUUGGUUCCCAGGCAAGUCCCUUUGCAAAGCCUCUCUCCAGCAAGAAUGGGCAGAAUGGGCCUCUUUCUCCUCUGACUCCUGCCCUCCAGCACUUUGCAGCUUUGUUCUAUUUUAGCCUCUCUCUCUCUCUCUAACACACAUGCACACACGGUAUAUUCAAUGAGUUUGCUUAUUAGAUGGGUACUUGAUGCACAAGACUCCAGAGGCACUGUGGGAAGAGCCACAUUCCUUCCAAGCUCACUAACCCACUCGCUCUUUGUGCUCCAGCCCUCACUGUCCUGGUCUGUGGCAUGCAGUUCCUGGGUCACAUUUCCUCCUCUGCCUUCAGCACAGCCUCGGGCUGUGCCUGGCUCCCAGGCUGGAGUUCCUUGGUUCCAAAGCCUGCAGUCCCCUCUGCCAGAGACAGAGCUGGUUUCAUGGGUGAACAGCCCAUGCAGUCAUAACGGGCCGCAUGCUCAGAACCCUGUACUUGGUUUAGUACUUUGCUGUUGCCGUCUUGAAAUGAUUUUCUAAUAGGGGGUCUUCUGUUUUCAUUUUGCACGGGGCUCUGCAAAUUAUGUAACUGGUCCUGGCAAGAGACCUCAGAGGUCAUGCACCCUGAUCUCCACCAUAUCUCAAACGCUGAAGAUUGACUUCCAGGCCUGGCCCUCUUUCCAGGAUGGCACAUUGUGUUUUAAUCAUUACCUUUCCCUCCUGUGCGAUGGCAGAUCAUGCAAGUCCACGCUGGCUGGCUGUCCUGGGUGUAGAUGCUGAUUUGGUGUCCCACUCAGAUCCCCUUGCAGGAAGAAUGGAGCCCCCUACCUGGGAAUUUCCUUCACCUCCCAAGCCAAUGACUGAUACAAGGUCCAAAAGGCCAGUUCAACUCUGCAGUGUGGUUUAUGCCCCACAGCUCUCCCACUGUGGGUCAGGCCAAGGCUGGGCUGAGACUGUUCCUGCUCAGCAUUUUUCCUUUCCCUCUUCUGCUUCCUUCCUUCUUUUACUGGUUUUUCUGGAAGUACACUCCCCCCGCCAGCCCCACCAAACAAACAAAAAAAAC